Molecule: ribosomal RNA, 461 nt
Filed under: uncultured bacterium
Lineage: Bacteria
Description: bacterial SSU rRNA
Rfam family: Bacterial small subunit ribosomal RNA
Source: RNAcentral
UACGGGAGGCAGCAGUGGGGAAUAUUGCACAAUGGGCGAAAGCCUGAUGCAGCUAUGCCGCGUGUAUGAAGAAGGCCUUAGGGUUGUAAAGUACUUUCAUCGGGGAGGAAAAAACAAAACUAAUAAUUUUAUUUCUUGACGUUACCCGAAAAAGAAGCACCGGCUAACUCCGUGCCAGCAGCCGCGGUAAUACGAAGGGUGCUAGCGUUAAUCAGAAUUACUGGGCGUAAAGAGCACGUAGGUGGUUUUUUUAAGUCAGAUGUGAAAUCCCUGGGCUUAACCUAGGAACUGCAUUUUGAAACUGAAAUACUAGAGUAUCGUAGAGGGAGGUAGAAUUCUAGGUGUAGCGGUGAAAUGCGUAGAUAUCUGGAGGAAUACCUGUGGCGAAAGCGGCCUCCUAAACGAAUACUGACACUGAGGUGCGAAAGCGUGGGGAGCGAAACAGGGAUUAGGAUACCCGU